CCUACGGGAGGCAGCAGUGAGGAAUAUUGGUCAAUGGGCGCGAGCCUGAACCAGCCAAGUCGCGUGCGGGAAGACGGUCCUAUGGAUUGUAAACCUCUUUUGUCGGGGAGCAAAAGACGCCACGCGUGGCGUUCCGAGAGUACCCGAAGAAAAAGCAUCGGCUAACUCCGUGCCAGCAGCCACGGUAAUACGGAGGAUGCGAGCGUUAUCCGGAUUUAUUGGGUUUAAAGGGUGCGCAGGCGGCAGAUCAAGUCAGCGGGAAAAGUCCGGGGCUCAACCUCGCCGAGCCGUUGAAACUGGGUUGCUUGAGUGAGCGAGAAGUAUGCGGAAUGCGUGGUGUAGCGGUGAAAUGCUUAGAUAUCGCGCAGAACUCCGAUUGCGAAGGCAGCAUACCGGCUCCACACUGACGCUCAGGCACGAAAGUGUGGGUAUCGAACAGGAUUAGAUACCCCUGUAGUC
RNAcentral lists this ribosomal RNA (459 nucleotides) under uncultured bacterium. RNAcentral describes it as "partial 16S ribosomal RNA". It matches the Rfam family "Bacterial small subunit ribosomal RNA", at positions 338 to 795 of the family's 1533-position model. The record is from RNAcentral.